This 475-nucleotide ribosomal RNA is filed under the name uncultured organism. Its description in RNAcentral is "partial 16S ribosomal RNA". It matches the Rfam family "Bacterial small subunit ribosomal RNA", at positions 333 to 799 of the family's 1533-position model. The record is from RNAcentral.
ACACUCCUGCGGGAGGCAGCAGUGGGGAAUAUUGCACAAUGGGCGCAAGCCUGAUGCAGCCAUGCCGCGUGUAUGAAGAAGGCCUUCGGGUUGUAAAGUACUUUCAGCGGGGAGGAAGGCGAUAAGGUUAAUAACCUUGUUGAUUGACGUUACCCGCAGAAGAAGCACCGGCUAACUCCGUGCUAGCAGCCGCGGUAAUACGGAGGGUGCAAGCGUUAAUCGGAAUUACUGGGCGUAAAGCGCACGCAGGCGGUCUGUCAAGUCGGAUGUGAAAUCCCCGGGCUCAACCUGGGAACUGCAUUCGAAACUGGCAGGCUAGAGUCUUGUAGAGGGGGGUAGAAUUCCAGGUGUAGCGGUGAAAUGCGUAGAGAUCUGGAGGAAUACCGGUGGCGAAGGCGGCCCCCUGGACAAAGACUGACGCUCAGGUGCGAAAGCGUGGGGAGCAAACAGGAUUAGAAACCCUUGUAGUCCCAUG